AUGGCCUUGGUCAAGGCGCUCCUUACGGCGGUGGCCAUCUACCACAUCACCCCAUUGGAGAUCCCGGUGGAGGUGCUACAGAAAUUGAACAGCCCGCGGAGAGCCUACCUUUGGGCUGCAAUUGACACCCUGUCUGGUGGCAAAUGAAAAAUUAACCGGGAGCACGUCUGCAGGCCUAAGCAAUUUGGGGGCCUAGGAAUCCCGAAUCUGAAAAGGUUUGCCACCGCUCUCCGCCUUAGAUGGUUAUGGCUGGAGCGGGAUGAACCGCCAAGAGCAUGGUGUGGUACUUAA
This 291-nucleotide ribosomal RNA is filed under the name Triticum aestivum (bread wheat). Its description in RNAcentral is "partial small subunit ribosomal RNA". Lineage: Eukaryota; Viridiplantae; Streptophyta; Magnoliopsida; Poales; Poaceae. The record is from RNAcentral.